Molecule: long non-coding RNA, 2738 nt
Filed under: Homo sapiens (human)
Lineage: Eukaryota; Metazoa; Chordata; Mammalia; Primates; Hominidae
Description: non-protein coding lnc-COMMD9-2:2
Source: RNAcentral
GUGUGAAGAUUCCCCCUUCACUCACCAGAUCAUCUCCAUGGCAACAGCUUGCAGCCUGCUCUUGGAGUGCUUUGUUUUGGCAGCUUCUCUGCUAGUUUGUGUAUGGAGUGAAUGGAGGAGGUAAAUCCACAGAUUAAGAAUAUGCUGUCAGGAGUCAGGCAGCCAAGGUCAGAAGCCAGCUCUGCUUCUCAGUGGCUCUGACAGCCAGGCCAGUGAUGAUGAGGUCCAUCUUCCUGCCACACCGAAAGCUCAUCUGCAGUCGGAGAGGCCAUCUAGACCCCAGAGGUUGGGAAGAAGAUGAGAAAAUCUUGGUACCUGAUGCCAUUCCCACUCUUCCUCCUUAUGUAUUCAUCAGGACGGACCAGGCUUGUGUUAAGGUGUACCCGGGAUUUGUUUUAAUCAGGAAUGGCAAGACUCACAGGCACAGAGGUGAUUGUCAUGAGGAAGAAGUCUGUGCUCACAGAACCCUAGAAACAGGAGGCAUGGCAUGCCACGUAGGGCCACAUGGGGAAGGACCAUCUCUCUGGGGCUUUUGGGGAAGUUGGAAACAGGUGCUCUUUUUCCUUCCCGUUGAUCAUUAAACAUUGAGUCCCUCGUCUCUAGGGAGGGGACUUCUUAUUUACCCCUGGGUUGGGAAAUAAAUCAUGACAGCAGCAAUCAGACAACAGCAGAGAAGUGUGUGAUCUGAACAUCUGUGGGAUGCCGUGAUCCCUGGAGGAGCCCUUCACACUGAUCCCAUGAAUGGCCCUCAACACAUGCACGAGCAAGGAGCAAGCGUUCCGACAAGUGCUCUCGCAGUACUCCAAGGAAGAGGCUGAAAUUUGACUCAGCAAAGCCCAGAGGGAAAAGGGAAAGUGGUUUAUGAGUGUCCUCAGGAGCUAUCACAUCCUAGACACUAGGCACUUUCAUCUAAAUGACUCUGAUGACCCCAGUGUUGUCAGUGCUCCUCAGUCAGUGGAUCAGACUUGCCCUUGGCAUGAGGAGGAUAGUCAGUCACUCCUGGUCCCCUUCAGAGGGACCUUUUGAGAAAAAAAUAUAGCCAAUUACUUAUGUAACCCCAGGCACUCUGUCCUGAAUCCUGGGCAUUCCACCACCGUGGAGAAAUAGGUUAGUCCCAGACACAUGACACCAGCCUAUGAGGCAGCUCCGGGACUCAGCUGCUCGAACGAGCGUCGCAAUUUCAAGUUGGGAAUUAACGGCAACACCUGACAACACAACACAAUGCAGUAGCCAUCAAGCAGGAAGCCCGAGCACUCCACUCUCAGCUGUACCUUGCCAAGCAGUGGCUGCUGUCUGUCGGGAGCAGGUAGCAAGUCAAGAUCAGUCUAAGGACAUUCCAUGUCCAUCUGGCAUCAAACCACCCUGCUACCUAUGCCAGUUGUUCUCAGGAUUUGUUUUAAUCAGGAAUGGUAAGACAUAAGGCACACAGACGUGGAAAUGAUUAUCAUGAAGGAAGAAGUUUGUGCUCAUAGAGCUCUAGAAGCAGGAGGUGUGGCACACGGGGCCACAUGGUUCGGAAGGAUAAGUGUUGGUCAGGAGGCAGGGAGAGGGGAGAGCAUGGCCCCAAGCCUUUAUUGGGGUUUUCAUAGGAAGGAAUGGUUAAGACAAGGUACAUAUGCUGGCUAAGUUUAGGGUUGGAUAGUUUGAAUAAUUUGGAUGGGUUCAGGGCCAUAGGGAUGGUCCCGAGUUGUCUGACCCUAGGGUGACUUAGGGCAGAGAGAAUAUUGGCUUGGUGUGUGAGAGUUUGGUUUUAAAAAGAAGAAGAUGGUUGGGAGUGUGGGCUCCAGAUUAGCUGGUUUGUACAUCAAAGGCACGCUCCCAGGAGAAUUGUUUGCCACCCCGCCCCCGACCCGUGUGUCUCUCUCUCUCUCUCUCUCUCUCUCUAGGAAUUUGCUAGCCCUGAAUGGGGUGACCUCUUUGGAUCAAGGACCCAAAUGUUAGCGCAUGAAGAAUACAGAAAAUAAGAACAUAUACUCAAUACAAGGUUAUGCUGCAGUAACAAACAAUCCCAAGGUUGUAGUGGCUUUUUACACAACUAAAGUUUCUUUGCCAAUGCUGCACAUUCACUGCAGGUUGGAGGAGGAGGGCGGGUAGUCUGCUCACUGUAAUCACUAAGGGCCCAGGAUGAUGGAAGCUUCAUCUCAACACAUGCCUCCACAAUCACCAAGGCAGGGAAAGGGACUAUGGCAAAUUGCACCUGUGAUCUUAAAGCUCCUGCCCAGAAGUAACAGUCAAAUCAUAUGGGCACACCUAACCAUGAAAGGGCAGAGAAGCUGAAUCCUACCAUGUGCCAGGAUGGAAGAGAAGUGGGAUAUUUGUGAUUAGUUCUGAUGACUACUGACACCUGUCAUUGGAACCAAAAGAUUCCUCUUUUGCUUAAGCAAAAGGAAGAAGAAUUGUUCAAAAGAAUUGUGGCCAGGUGCAGUGGCUUGCGCCUGCAAUCCUAGCACUUUGGGAGGCCAAGGCGGGCAGAUCACUUGAGGCCAAGCGUUUGAGACUGGCCUGGGCAAGAUGGUGAAACUCUGUCGCUACAUAAAAUACAAAUAUCAGCUGGGCAUGCUGGUGUAUGCCUGUAGUCCCAGCUAUUCAGGAGGCUGAGGUGGGAGGACUUCUUGAGCUUGACUGAGGUGGCAGUGAGCUGAGAUCGCACCACUGCUCUCCAGCCUAGGUGACAGAGUGAGACUCUGUCUCAAAAUAAAAAUAAAAAAGAAUUGUAAUAAUACAUGCCCCAACACCCC